RNAcentral lists this ribosomal RNA (556 nucleotides) under uncultured bacterium. RNAcentral describes it as "bacterial SSU rRNA". It matches the Rfam family "Bacterial small subunit ribosomal RNA", at positions 777 to 1346 of the family's 1533-position model. The record is from RNAcentral.
AAUAGAUACCCGGGUAGUCCACGCCGUAAACUAUGGAUGCUAGCUGUUAUGAGUAUCGACCCUCGUAGUAGCGAAGCUAACGCGUUAAGCAUCCCGCCUGUGGAGUACGAGCGCAAGCUUAAAACAUAAAGGAAUUGACGGGGACCCGCACAAGCGGUGGAGCGUGUUGUUUAAUUCGAUGAUAAGCGUAGAACCUUACCAAGGCUUGACAUCCCUGGAAGGUCUCCGAAAGGAGACUGUGCCUUCGGGAAUCAGGUGACAGGUGCUGCAUGGCCGUCGUCAGCUCGUGUCGUGAGAUGUUUGGUUAAGUCCAUCAACGAGCGCAACCCUUAUAAAUAGUUGAAUUUUUCUAUUUAGACCGCCUCGGUAACGGGGAGGAAGGAGGGGAUGACGUCAGGUCAGUAUUGCCCUUAUGCUUUGGGCUACAAACACGCUACAAUGGCCGGUACAAAGGGCUGCCAACCCGCGAGGGGGAGCAAAUCCCAUCAAAACCGGUCCCAGUUCGGAUAGCAGGCUGAAACUCGCCUGCUUGAAGUCGGAACCGCUAGUAACGGUG